CACGCAGUAAACGAUGAUUACUCGCUGUUUGCGAUAUACUGCAAGCGGCUUAGCGAAAGCGUUAAGUAAUCCACCUGGGGAGUACGUUCGCAAGAAUGAAACUCAAAGGAAUUGACGGGGGCCCGCACAAGCGGAGGAACAUGUGGUUUAAUUCGAUGAUACGCGAGGAACCUUACCCGGGCUUGAAAUGCAUCUGACGUGGGCAGAGACGUCCAUUCCCUUCGGGGCAGAUGUGUAGGUGC
This 242-nucleotide ribosomal RNA is filed under the name uncultured Porphyromonadaceae bacterium. RNAcentral's name for it is "partial 16S ribosomal RNA". It matches the Rfam family "Bacterial small subunit ribosomal RNA", at positions 796 to 1041 of the family's 1533-position model. Lineage: Bacteria; Pseudomonadati; Bacteroidota; Bacteroidia; Bacteroidales; Porphyromonadaceae. The record is from RNAcentral.